Long non-coding RNA from Oncorhynchus tshawytscha (Chinook salmon), 2172 nucleotides. The record is from Ensembl. Lineage: Eukaryota; Metazoa; Chordata; Actinopteri; Salmoniformes; Salmonidae.
GACACCCAAUGGACAGACGGGACAGGAGUGAAAUGACGUUCUGAGUUAACUACACUCCAGGACUUGAACACUUCAGACAAUGAGGACAAACAGGUGACAGGGAUGAAGACUGUGUUGAGCUCGUGUGGUUCUGUGACGCUUCUCAAGAAGCCUGAUCCUCCCUGCCUCUGGUCACAACCCAAGUGUCCUGACAUUAAACAUCCUGGACAUGGAAUCAAAUCAAAUCAAAUCAAACUCUCCCCUACUGAACACAGACGUCAGUGCUUCCUCUGCCCUGAGCCUUUACGUACCCAACACCUGACCUUUGCCCCUGAUGCAGCAGACUGAACAACGGGUUGAACUGUGACCCGGACUAUGUUGAGUAGACUCCAACACCUGACCUCUGACCCUGAUGCAGCAGACUGAACAACGGGUUGACCUGUGACCCGGACCAUGUUCAGUAGACUCCAACACCUGACCUCUGCCCUUGAUGCAGCAGACUGAACAACGGGUUGACCUGUGACCCGGACCAUGUUCAGUAGACUCCAACACCUGACCUCUGCCCUUGAUGCAGCAGACUGAACAACGGGUUGACCUGUGACCUGGACCAUGUUCAGGACCAUGUUCAGUAGACUCCAAUGGGACGAACACAUUUAAACGGGGGAGGUUCUACCAGAAUUGAGCAAAUCGAAACGCUGAAAAAUGUAUUUUUGUUGAUUCUUUGUAUUUUGUCUCAUUGGUUGUUUUUCCUCCUUGUUUAGGAGCUGCUACAGUGUUUCCCAGACCCCAAGUCCUCCCAUUUACCAAUGUUUCCCAAGUCCUCCCCUUUACCAGUGUUUCCCAGACCCCAAGUCCUCCCAUUUACCAAUGUUUCCCAAGUCCUCCCCUUUACCAGUGUUUCCCAGACCCCAAGUCCUCCCAUUUACCAAUGUUUCCCAAGUCCUCCCCUUUACCAGUUUCCCAAGUUUUUACCAAUGUUUCCCAGACCCCAAGUCCUCCCAUUUACCAAUGUUUCCCAAGUCCUCCCCUUUACCAGUGUUUCCCAAGUCCUCCCCUUUACCAGUGUUUCCCAGACCCCAAGUCCUCCCAUUUACCAAUGUUUCCCAGACCCCAAGUCCUCCCAUUUACCAAUGUUUCCCAGACCCCAAGUCCUCCCAUUUACCAAUGUUUCCCAAGUCCUCCCCUUUACCAGUGUUUCCCAGACCCCAAGUCCUCCCAUUUACCAAUGUUUCCCAAGUCCUCUCCUUUACCAGUGUUUCCCAGACCCCAAGUCCUCCCAUUUACCAAUGUUUCCCAGACUCCAAGUCCUCCCAUUUACCAGUGUUUCCCAGACCCCAAGUCCUCCCCUUUACCAGUGUUUCCCAGACCCCAAGUCCUCCCAUUUACCAAUGUUUCCCAAGUCCUCUCCUUUACCAGUGUUUCCCAGACCCCAAGUCCCCCCUUUACCAGUGUUUCCCAGACUCCAAGUCCUCCCCUUUACCAGUGUUUCCCAGACCCCAAGUCCUCCCCUUUACCAGUGUUUCCCAGACCCCAAGUCCUCCCCUUUACCAGUGUUUCCCAGACCCCAAGUCCCCCCUUUACCAGUGUUUCCCAGACGCCAAGUCCCCCCUUUACCAGUGUUUCCCAGACCCCUGUCCUGUCCCCCCAUUAUCAAUGUUUCCCAUGUCCUGUCCCCCUUUACCAAUGUUUCCCAGACCCCUGUCCCCCCUUUACCAGUGUUUCCCAGAUCCCAAGUCCUGCCCUUUACCAGUGUUUCCCAGACCCCUGUCCUAUCCCCCCUUUACCAGUGUUUCCCAGACCCCAAGUCCCCCUUUACCAGUGUUUCCCAUGUCCUGUCCCCCCUUUACCAGUUGUUUCCCAUGUCCUGUCCUCCCCUUUACCAGUGUUUCCCAUGUCCUGUCCCCCCUUUACCAGUGUUUCCCAUGUUCUGUCCCCCCUUUACCAGUGUUUCCCAUGUCCUGUCCCCCCUUUUACCAGUGUUUCCCAUGUCCUGUCCCCCCUUUACCAGUGUUUCCCAUGUCCUGUCCCCCCUUUACCAGUGUUUCCCAUGUCCUGUCCCCCCUUUACCAGUGUUUCCCAGACCCCAAGUCCCCCUUUACCAAUGUUUCCCAUGUCCUGUCCCCCCUUUACCAAUGUUUCCCAUGUCCUGUCCCCCCUUUACCAGUGUUUCCCAGACCCCUGUCCUGUCCCCCC